Molecule: ribosomal RNA, 216 nt
Filed under: Clostridioides difficile
Lineage: Bacteria; Bacillati; Bacillota; Clostridia; Peptostreptococcales; Peptostreptococcaceae
Description: partial 23S ribosomal RNA
Rfam family: Bacterial large subunit ribosomal RNA
Source: RNAcentral
GUGGAAGCACAUUUCUUGUGUGACCGCGUACUUUUUGUAGAACGGGCCAACGAGUUACGUUAAGUAGCAAGGUUAAGCACUUAAGGUGUGGAGCCGUAGCGAAAGCGAGUUUUAACUGAGCGUUCAGUUACUUGACGUAGACCCGAAACCGGGCGACCUACCCAUGAGCAGGAUGAAGCGAAAGUAAAAUUUCGUGGAGGUCCGAACCCACGAGCG